GAUCAUGGCUCAGGAUGAACGCUAGCUACAGGCUUAACACAUGCAAGUCGAGGGGCAGCAUUUUUAGUUUGCUUGCAAACUGAAGAUGGCGACCGGCGCACGGGUGAGUAACACGUAUCCAACCUGCCGAUAACUCCGGGAUAGCCUUUCGAAAGAAAGAUUAAUACCGGAUAGCAUACGAAUAUCGCAUGAUAUUUUUAUUAAAGAAUUUCGGUUAUCGAUGGGGAUGCGUUCCAUUUAG
Molecule: ribosomal RNA, 241 nt
Filed under: uncultured bacterium
Lineage: Bacteria
Description: partial 16S ribosomal RNA
Rfam family: Bacterial small subunit ribosomal RNA
Source: RNAcentral